Molecule: small nuclear RNA, 108 nt
Organism: Gracilinanus agilis (Agile Gracile Mouse Opossum)
Lineage: Eukaryota; Metazoa; Chordata; Mammalia; Didelphimorphia; Didelphidae
Source: RefSeq, a predicted model, not a curated record
UUUUUAAAAUUCAAGAGCAAAUAUAUUAAAAUUGGAAGGAUACACCAAAGAUCAGUAUAGCUUCUGUGCAAGGAUGAUAUGCAAAUUUAUGAAGUGCUCCAUAUUUUU